This 205-nucleotide long non-coding RNA is filed under the name Elaeis guineensis (African oil palm). RNAcentral's name for it is "long non-coding RNA (EGUI_LNC031719)". Lineage: Eukaryota; Viridiplantae; Streptophyta; Magnoliopsida; Arecales; Arecaceae. The record is from RNAcentral.
GAUGUCCUUAAAUCAAUGAUUGUGAAUUAUUACUGACCUGUGAGUCCUAUACUCUUGGGAAGAUGAUAAAGUCACCUUUUAUUGUAAAGGUGAUAGAGCCAGUGAUGUUCUAGGUCUAGUAUAUAGUAAUAUAUGUGGACCUGUGAACACAGUUGCCAAAGAAGGGUAUUACUACUUCAUUACAUUUAUGAUGAUCUGUCGAGGU